GCUGAGGUGGCGGAAUUGGUAGACGCGCCAGACUUAGGAUCUGGUGCCCAAAAGGCAUGCGAGUUCGAGUCUCGCCCUCAGCACCA
RNAcentral lists this transfer RNA (86 nucleotides) under Pseudomonadota bacterium. RNAcentral's name for it is "tRNA-Leu". It matches the Rfam family "tRNA". Rfam says of the family: Transfer RNA (tRNA) molecules are approximately 80 nucleotides in length. Lineage: Bacteria; Pseudomonadati; Pseudomonadota. RNAcentral also lists the same sequence under 2 other names. The record is from RNAcentral.